GUAGGAAUACCCGCUGAACUUAAG
Molecule: ribosomal RNA, 24 nt
Filed under: Trichoderma harzianum
Lineage: Eukaryota; Fungi; Ascomycota; Sordariomycetes; Hypocreales; Hypocreaceae
Description: partial 28S ribosomal RNA
Source: RNAcentral